Non-coding RNA from Schistosoma mansoni, 46 nucleotides. Lineage: Eukaryota; Metazoa; Platyhelminthes; Trematoda; Strigeidida; Schistosomatidae. The record is from Rfam.
GCACUGAUGAGGUGUCUCAUAAUAGGACGAAACGGCCGUUCAGUGC